Molecule: ribosomal RNA, 382 nt
Filed under: uncultured bacterium
Lineage: Bacteria
Description: bacterial SSU rRNA
Rfam family: Bacterial small subunit ribosomal RNA
Source: RNAcentral
GACGAACGCUGGCGGCGUGCUUAACACAUGCAAGUCGAGCGGUAAGGCCCUUUCGGGGGUACGACGAGCGGCGAACGGGUGAGUAACACGUGGGUGACCUGCCCUCAGCUCUGGGAUAAGCCUGGGAAACCGGGUCUAAUACUGGAUAUGACUCCAUGACGCAUGUUGUGGGGUGGAAAGCCUUGUGCGGCUGAGGAUGGGCCCGCGGCCUAUCAGCUUGUUGGUGGGGUGANGGCCUACCAAGGGCGACGACGGGUAGCCGGCCUGAGAGGGCGACCGGCCACACUGGGGACUGAGACACGGCCCAGACUCCUACGGGAGGCAGCAGUGGGGAAUCUUGCGCAAGUGGGCGAAAGCCUGACGCAGCGACGCCGCGUGAGGG